AUCACUGCCACACGCUUGAAGGUGCCGCGGGCCGUCCUGGAGGGCAGCGUCGAGUCACAGAUUCACUUCACCCGACGGUGGAAUGAGAACAUGCCUUGGUUGUGUUACCCCAUGAACGUAGCAACCCUAUCUUGGUCAAGUUCACUCAUAGACUUACAGUCUGCAGGGAAUUGCGCCCUACACAGCUUGCAGAUGGCAGGAUAAGCUGAUAAACCAACACCUUGCCUGACUAAGUCAUCAGGGCAGGGACUACAGAAGAAUGAGGAACUAAAGACUGGACAGUAAAACUUUGGCCUCACAACUUUACAGGAAACAGAAAGGAGAUCCACCAAGCAGAAAGGCAUCCAACAGUCAACUAUUUAACCUACGGCCAAGCUCCAUAACCAGGAAGAUGAAUGAAGAUUCCCCAGGAUAGUGGAGAUAAGUUGAACUGCCAUCUUUCCUAUGAGACCAUGGCAUGUACUGCCUUUCUCUGCCAUAUUUCUUUUCUAAUAAAGUUUUCUAACAUUUUUACU
This is a long non-coding RNA of Dipodomys ordii (Ord's kangaroo rat), 515 nucleotides long. RefSeq lists it as uncharacterized. Lineage: Eukaryota; Metazoa; Chordata; Mammalia; Rodentia; Heteromyidae. The transcript has 2 exons. The record is from RefSeq and is a predicted model, not a curated record.